Molecule: long non-coding RNA, 1138 nt
Organism: Chinchilla lanigera (long-tailed chinchilla)
Lineage: Eukaryota; Metazoa; Chordata; Mammalia; Rodentia; Chinchillidae
Exons: 3
Source: RefSeq, a predicted model, not a curated record
AGUCUGUCAAAGAACCAAGAGAGACUCAGAGUGGAGCACGCUGUAAAGAUCAAGACAUCGUGUACAUGCUUUAGAAAGUGCUGUGCUACUUUGCUUCUGCACAUGCAGACUGCCUGGGUGCUGAAUGCACAGGGGAAAAAAGACCAAUGAGAAAAUAGCACCUAAGAAUGCAGCGCGGUACUGACAGCUAUGCACUUUUAGCUGCAGAACACCCUUGCUGCUGAGGUCCAGGGCUAUGGUUUCACUUACCUGACAUAAGCAGAUGGUGAAAUACACUCCAGGGAGCUGGGUGGACCAACAUUCUGCACAGGGAAGGCAACUAGAGAGCCAAGGCCAGAACAUUUUGAGGCUUCUUCAGAUAUCACUCGUUCUUCGCACGAACUUGGAUAAAUCACUGGUUCUUCCUCACCCUGAGCUGCCCCAUGUGUGGAGUGCAGCUGUGAUGCGUGGAAUCCGCGUGAGUGUUGGUACCACUUGCAUAUGUAAGGGACUCAAUGGUUUUUUGCAAUGGCUCACACAUAGGAACAAGUCAACACCGACAACUGACUGCACUGUGAUGAAGUUCCAGAAACGAUACUCAAGUCUGAACUUUGAUUUGUACUAGGAAGCUGCUGCCUUGAGUACAUGGGCACUGGGAAGUGAAGAUUGGCUUGUCAUGCUCCCCUUUCCUGUGUCAUCUAUGUGGUCAGUGUUGCACAUGCUGAAGUGAUAAGGUGUACAGCCGGGAGCAAAGCAGGAGGUGAACCUAAAGAAGCUGCUUGUGCAGAAAGUAAGGAUGUGCUCAAAAUCUGACAAGUCAGUCUGUGAGCACAGGAGCCAGACUGAAGGAGCAGUGAGUGGAGACUGCAGGGUGGAGGUGUGGGUCCUGCAGAAGAGUGAUCCAGGUAGAACAGCGUCCUCCCGGGAAGCACAGAUGCUGCUGUGAGCUCAAGGAGAAGUAGAGGGCCAGGGAAGCUGGACUGAGAAAGCAAAGUGCAAAACAUUCAUUCAACAGCUGUCAGAGAGGUUCUGGGGACCCCACACGAAGGGCCUGUGAUCCACUCCUGAGGACGUGGAUGUCAACUCUGAGUGCUGGGAAGCUGAUGGUGGAUUGUGAUCGAAGAGCCCCGCUGGCCUGACUCAUAUUUGGAAAGGACCA